Molecule: ribosomal RNA, 617 nt
Filed under: uncultured bacterium
Lineage: Bacteria
Description: bacterial SSU rRNA
Rfam family: Bacterial small subunit ribosomal RNA
Source: RNAcentral
GAAAGCCCAGGCGGCGGGGGAUGGGGUCGCGGCCCAUUAGGUAGUAGGCGGGGUAGAGGCCCACCUAGCCGACGAUGGGUAGCCGGACUGAGAGGUCGACCGGCCACAUUGGGACUGAGAUACGGCCCAGACUCCUACGGGAGGCAGCAGUGGGGAAUUUUGCGCAAUGGGGGAAACCCUGACGCAGCAACGCCGCGUGCGGGACGAAGGCCCUCGGGCUGUAAACCGCUUUCAGCAGGGAAGACGUCGACGGUACCUGCAGAAGAAGCUCCGGCUAACUACGUGCCAGCAGCCGCGGUAAUACGUAGGGGGCGAGCGUUAUCCGGAUUCAUUGGGCGUAAAGCGCGCGUAGGCGGCCGCCUAAGCGGAACCUCUAACCCCGGGGCUCAACCUCGGGCCGGGUUCCGGACUGGGCGGCUCGAGUGCGGUAGAGGAGAGCGGAAUUCCCGGUGUAGCGGUGGAAUGCGCAGAUAUCGGGAAGAACACCGAUGGCGAAGGCAGCUCUCUGGGCCGUCACUGACGCUGAGGCGCGAAAGCUGGGGGAGCGAACAGGAUUAGAUACCCUGGUAGUCCCAGCCGUAAACGAUGGACGCUAGGUGUGGGGGGACCUGCCCUCC